GGCACUGGGAGAGGAUGGACUUAUGGCGCAUUAGCUGGUUGGUGAGGUAACGGCUCACCAAGGCGACGAUGCGUAGCCGACCUGAGAGGGUGACCGGCCACACUGGGACUGAGACACGGCCCAAACUCCUACGGGAGGCAGCAGUAGGGAAUUUUCGGCAAUGGGGGGAACCCUGACCGAGCAACGCCGCGUGAAGGAAGAAGGAAUUCGUUCUGUAAACUUCUGUUAUAAAGGAAGAAAGACGGAUGGAGGAAAUGACAUCCGAGUGACGGUACUUUAUGAGAAAGCCACGGCUAACUACGUGCCAGCAGCCGCGGUAAUACGUAGGUGGCAAGCGUUAUCCGGAAUUAUUGGGCGUAAAGAGGGAGCAGGCGGCAGCAAAGGUCUGUGGUGAAAGACUGAAGCUUAACUUCAGUAAGCCAUAGAAACCGGGCAGCUAGAGUGCAGGAGAGGAUCGUGGAAUUCCAUGUGUAGCGGUGAAAUGCGUAGAUAUAUGGAGGAACACCAGUGGCGAAGGCGACGAUCUGGCCUGCAACUGACGCUCAGUCCCGAAAGCGUGGGGAGCAAAUAGGAUUAGAUACCCUAGUAGUCCACGCCGU
Molecule: ribosomal RNA, 599 nt
Filed under: uncultured bacterium
Lineage: Bacteria
Description: bacterial SSU rRNA
Rfam family: Bacterial small subunit ribosomal RNA
Source: RNAcentral